RNAcentral lists this ribosomal RNA (253 nucleotides) under uncultured bacterium. RNAcentral's name for it is "partial 16S ribosomal RNA". It matches the Rfam family "Bacterial small subunit ribosomal RNA", at positions 524 to 776 of the family's 1533-position model. The record is from RNAcentral.
UACGUAGGGUGCAAGCGUUGUCCGGAAUUAUUGGGCGUAAAGAGCUCGUAGGCGGUUUGUCGCGUCUGCUGUGAAAACUCGGGGCUUAACUCCGGGCCUGCAGUGGGUACGGGCAGACUAGAGUGCGGUAGGGGAGACUGGAAUUCCUGGUGUAGCGGUGAAAUGCGCAGAUAUCAGGAGGAACACCGGUGGCGAAGGCGGGUCUCUGGGCCGUAACUGACGCUGAGGCGCGAAAGCGUGGGUAGCAAACGGG